RNAcentral lists this ribosomal RNA (1337 nucleotides) under uncultured bacterium. Its description in RNAcentral is "bacterial SSU rRNA". It matches the Rfam family "Bacterial small subunit ribosomal RNA", at positions 38 to 1386 of the family's 1533-position model. The record is from RNAcentral.
GGCGGCGUGCCUAACACAUGCAAGUCGAACGGGGUAAUUUCUUCGGAGAUUACUUAGUGGCGAACGGGUGAGUAACGCGUGAGAAACCUGCCUUUCAGUGGGGGACAACAGUUGGAAACGACUGCUAGUACCGCAUAAUGUUAUUUAAGGGCAUCCUUGAAUAACCAAAGCUUAUGUGCUGAAAGAUGGUCUCGCGUCUGAUUAGCUAGAUGGCGGGGUAACGGCCCACCAUGGCGACGAUCAGUAGCCGGUCUGAGAGGAUGAACGGCCACAUUGGGACUGAGAUACGGCCCAGACUCCUACGGGAGGCAGCAGUGGGGAAUAUUGGGCAAUGGGGGAAACCCUGACCCAGCAACGCCGCGUGAUGGAAGAAGGCCUUCGGGUUGUAAACUUCUUUUACCAGGGACGAAGAAAAUGACGGUACCUGGAGAAAAAGCAACGGCUAACUACGUGCCAGCAGCCGCGGUAAUACGUAGGUUGCAAGCGUUGUCCGGAUUUACUGGGUGUAAAGGGCGUGUAGGCGGAGAUGCAAGUUGGGAGUGAAAUCCCGAGGCUCAACCCCGGAACUGCUUUCAAAACUGUAUCCCUUGAGUGUCGGAGAGGCAAGCGGAAUUCCUAGUGUAGCGGUGAAAUGCGUAGAUAUUAGGAGGAACACCAGUGGCGAAGGCGGCUUGCUGGACGAUAACUGACGCUGAGGCGCGAAAGCGUGGGGGAGAAACAGGAUUAGAUACCCUGGUAGUCCACGCUGUAAACGAUGAAUACUAGGUGUGGGAGGACUGACCCCUUCCGUGCCGCAGUUAACACAAUAAGUAUUCCACCUGGGGGAGUACGACCGCAAGGGUUGAAACUCAAAGGAAUUGACGGGGGCCCGCACAAGCAGUGGGAUUAUGUGGUUUAAUUCGACGCAACGCGAAAGAACCUUACCAGGAUUUGACAUCCUACUAACGAAGCAGAGAUGCAUUAGGUGCCCUUCGGGGAAAGUAGAGACAGGUGGUGCAUGGUUGUCGUCAGCUCGUGUCGUGAGAUGUUGGGUUAAGUCCUGCAACGAGCGCAACCCUCGUGUAUAGUUGCCAAUAUUAAGUUAGGAACUCUAUACAGACCGCCGUGGUUAACACGGAGGAAGGUGGGGAUGACGUCAAAUCAUCACGGCCCUUACGUUCUGGGCCACACCCGUGCUACAAUGGCUAUUACAAAGAGCAGCGAAACGGUAACGUGGAGCGAAUCUCAUAAAGAUAGUCUCAGUUCAGAUUGUGGGCUGCAACUCGCCCACAUGAAGUAGGAGUUGCUAGUAAUCCCGAAUCAGCAUGUCGGGGUGAAUGCGUUCCCGGGUCUUGCAC